Molecule: long non-coding RNA, 11153 nt
Organism: Bombus terrestris (buff-tailed bumblebee)
Lineage: Eukaryota; Metazoa; Arthropoda; Insecta; Hymenoptera; Apidae
Exons: 9
Source: RefSeq, a predicted model, not a curated record
GGGUGGGUUAUGGGGUAUAACGCGACGAAGAACAUCCGAAUAAAAUAAUAAUAAACCGCGGAUACGUUUCAGCGCGCGUCGCUCCUUCUUCCGUCCUGAUGCUUCGCCUGUCUCUCUUUCUGCCUCGGUCUUUCCUGUUUCUGCGUCGCCUGAAAUAAAUGAGUCGGGUCUAACCGCUUGAAUCGAACGAGCAUAAUGAGUACAGACGGAUCGCCAGAGGUGUACGACGAUGAUGUAUUACGUCUAAAAUUGAAUCCUUAUUUUCUGUUUAAUAUCGAGAACAAAAGGAACAUUCAUUUAUUUAAUACAGUGAUACAUUCGAAGUUUACGAGUAUUUAAUGCGAACGAUUAUUUUUCUAUGAAUUGUCAGUUUUUUUAGAUUGCUUAUCGAAAUUUUCUUUGUAUUAAUAUGCCGCCAUCAUCGUUUAUUUGUAAAAAGAUGAUUAAGUUAAUUUAUACGAAACUGAAUAAUUCAUUCAUUUCGUCUGGCCGUUUUGUAAAUGCAAGACCACCGAGGCUGCCGCCGGUAGACUGACUACAUGCGAGUGAAACGCGACAUUUUAAGGCUUGCGUGACACGGAUCGAUAUAAUUUUCUGCAGUUUAGAUCGUUGCGAGAAGAGGUGGAUUCCAGGUACUUGGAAAAAGAAGGUCAACAACACCACGAAACAGCAAUGUUCACCAUGGAGCAAUUUGCAAAUGAAAAAAAAGGAUAAUAUUGCGAGAGGUUCAAAACAUAUACAAUUAGCUUACUAGCUUAUCUUAAAUGUAAUUCAUUAGGGUUUAAUUCUGUAUAAGUUGAUUACAAAUGAUACCGACUUAUCAGUUAAAAGAUAGUCGGAGAAGAGAUGUCGUUAAACCGGAAGAAUCUUUUCUCUUUACGUACUAAUUUUAAUCUCGUUUCAACGAGGGGAUAUUGAAUGUGUUGAGGAAUACCCUAACAUGCUGUUGGAACAAGAAAUGACAUGUAUUGGACGUCAGAAGAAUACUUGAGUUAAGUAAUUUGCUUCGUAAUUCGCUAAAUUCAAUUAUGAACUAUUUUUAACGGAUCUACAUUUGAAAACGUUAUUAGAGGCAUGAUAAACAGUAGAAUAUAUCAUGUACAUUGACAAACGAAAAAUUAUAGAUACAUAUGUCUAUGGAGAAAUACCGAGUGCAGGACGAAGACAAACUUUUAUCUAUUAAAAAAUUUAAGUCUCAUCGCUAUUUAUAAAUCUAUAAAAUUACGAAUUUUUUGAUGAUAAAAGAAUGUGAUUGGAUCAUAAAUGACUCAAAGGACGUAGCAGGGCUAAUACAGAAAGCCAUCCACGAACGUCUCGUCGAGUAACGGAGCCGGAGCGAUCGACCUCACAGUUCGAACGACUUGGUAUUCCUCGUGGUCGAAUCGUCGUGAGUCAUAGCGAUCACUCGGCGGAUUCGCAGAUCAUAUAUUUAUCGCGGCUGUACGAAAAGCCCGCUGAGAUGUUUCUUCUCAGGGACAAAUCAAUGGGGCUGGCGAGCCGGCGGUGGCCGUUUGAUGUCAAGAAAGAGCUCGACCCGCUCGGAUUCAGCUAUCUCGACGUCGUCGCCGACGGCGGCAUCCUACUGCGAUAACGCCAUUAUGCGAAUUCGCGAUUUGCAUAUUUCAGAAAGCGCUGCACAGGAAAGCAUAAACAACUCCAGCCGCUCCGCGCAACGAGAGCGCCGUGGCUUCCUCGUCAGAAGAGUUACACGCAUGGAAGAUUUACGGAGAAUCCAACGGUUUCCCUUUUCCCUUCCUUCUAUCCUUUUUCCUCCUUCUUCCGACUCGUCGUUUUCUUCGCUGUCUCACUUCUUCUUUUCUUUUUUUUUAGGGAACCUCCUCUCGCACUUUGUAUUCAGGCAUAAAUGCAUGGCGACGCGAAAUGGGAAUUGGCUGAAUACCUCCAGACGAUCAUCUCGGGGACGGAGGAGGAAAAAACCGGUCCAACAGUUUUGCUAGACUGCAGCUCGCGGUUUUCGGGCCGAAUCCCGCGACCGAGGCUAAUCCUUGGAAGACCAUCUUUCGGCAUGCUGACUGAUGUGUCUCUCGAAAUAGACAGAAGAUCGUUUGUAUAUACACGAUUUUGUUAUUCAGCACGGUGUACCUUACUUCAGCAACUUUGCUGUCUGUAGUGUAUGGAGAAUACGGAAUGUCUUCUCUUUUCCUACCUUUUAUGUACCGUUUUAGAGUAACUACAUCUAGGAGUAUAUAGCAUAAUAGAGUUAUUUGAGUCACCUAAGCUUCAACGUCCUGAAAAUAUAUAGCUAUCGAGUUGUCAAUGUAUAUAAUAUACUUCACUGUUUUAUCAAACCAUUAAUUAGCAGUUAAAUAUGUAAUCCAUUUUCAAGUUUAAAAAUUGUUCAUGACCGAUUUUACUGAAUUACAUAGCGGAUUAUUUAGUCCGACUCAAACAUCCUUCCGAGUCAAAUAACCCUGUCUAAAUGGUUCUAGCCAUUAAAUUGGAAAAAUUUAGAUCUUAAUUUAAUUAUGGAAGAUAAAUUCCAAUUCUUCACAAGAUAUAUACAAUUUAUCUUCGUAUUAUUAAUGUCGUAUGCAGAUAAUGGUUUAUCACGGAGAUUCUUCAUCUCCAUUCAGCAGUGCUGACAACCGAGCAGAACGGAGGGCACGAGACCACCAACAGACAAGGAUCGACCGCCGUAGAUCGCCUUUUCCGCGCAUUAUAAUGCUAACGGUCGCUUAUCAGGACAGCAUAAAACGUUUCAGCGCUAGUUUCGCCGCGAUAAGUGGCGGAGCGCGCGAAACCGCGCGCUCGCUUACAUAAGUAAUAUAAUUGAUUCGUUACAAGCGCUCCUACACGACAGAUAAGUUUAUCUGUGACGCGCAUCGACGAAACCGGUUAGAUAACGAGCGCCGCUACAUCAUAUAAUAAGCUUUAAUUAUUCGGAUAAUGAAGCUCGCCGUCCUCUUCUAAUGACAAAUAACAUCGGCUCAACCAUAAGCCACUGCAGCGAAACCAUCAUGUCGAAACUUCCGGAGGAAAAGUCACAUUGGCUUUCCUCGACGUUUCCUUCGACUCUACGGUGUUACGGCCCUUUUAAUCUGCCACUGUUUGUUUCACUUGUAAUUUCAAUCUGCUCCUAGUUUACACAUCGCCCAAGACACGAAAAGCUAUCAUAGAGAAAUGUAAUUUAUUUAUGAUAAGUUGAAAAUUAUAGUUGUGUAUGUCAAGAUUUUGAGAAUCUGGAUCUAAUCAUGUACCUUAACUUUUAAAAGCAUCAAAUGUUUCAUAAUUAAUUAAGUUACAACUUUAUUCUUUGUCGCGAUACGUUUUCAUGACUUCGAAGAAUAUAAACGACUCUUGAAAAACGACUACUACGAAUGAUAUAAGAAGCUCAGAGGUACAGUGGUAACAGUGGUCCAUAAUUUUAAAUUGUACGUCUUCAGUUGCUUUUGUUUCAUCCUGUUCCAGUUUACCAGUUCGAAGAAUCCCGAACAACCUGUUAAACUGAUCGGGCAAAACCUGGAAGACGUUGAUCUUGGAUGAAAGAACAAGUCCCUGGUACCAACUUCCAUCUGGUGUCUUAACGAGCAAACAUUUUAAUAAACUCGUCACACCGGUGCACGGGCCAAGAUCGAGAGCCUUUCCAGAUCUCGAAUUUCAAUUUUCACGCGACACUCCGUAAAGUAUCCAGAGGCAAGAAGGAACGCGGCAGUAAGGAAUCGCUGAGAAAGAUCUCGACGAAGGAAAAAACGCGUUUGCCGUCAAAUACCAGCGAUCAGGCGGAAAGAAAGGAGGCUGGAUGAUGUACCGGUAGAUCCACGUUCCACGCCGGAUAUUUACGUGUAGCCCGAUGGCCGAACUCCUGUCGAACAUCGGGUUUUACAGCGUCGAGCAACGGCGUAUCGUUGGCCAUCAUCGAGGACCAAGGAUCCGGCGACUGGUUACACACAAGUAGAUGGAUGAAGGUGGCUGGAACAAGGUGGCGGUUGAUGGGUGUAAAUUCAAGAUACGAUCUUCUCCCUUCUGUGUCCCUUUCCAAGUGGAUUUACCGACUGCUGCGCGUUCUGUCCGCUUUACUCGGUUUUUAAUUAUCUCCGGGGUCCCUGAGACAAAGGCGUCGCCGCCGUCGUCAGCCAGGUAAACGUUUCUCUGUCUUACCUCCUUUGGCCAACGAGGACCGGGCAUGUCUGACGAACCUUCUGGAACUGGGACGUGACGUAUCGGCGCUGGAAAGCUGAAGAAUCCUGGCAAUGAAUCGAUUGAAUAUGUAAAUGGGCUUUUGAAUUGUUUGGAGGAAGUUCAGAAACGAAAAAUCGAGGAAGAUAAUUCUUACAUGGAUAAGAACUAACAGUCGUGUUUUAGAAGAUAUGCCACUGUAGUAUUCGAUGAGGAAUUUUAGAAGACGUAUGGAUUAUGGAACGCAAAGAUGAUUUAUCAACUCGUUGGUUCGAACAACGAUAUAAAUUUAAUUGUUAGAUCAGGUACUUGGUUUAUGAUUUAGAUUCCAUCAUGAAGUUGGCGAAUGGUCUUCAUAGAGUUGCGCUAGGCCGCUAAUAAAAGAUGUCCCCGUCUGGUCGCAUUAUCAUUUUAAUUGCUUCGUUUUGUGCUGAACCUUUUUGCCAGAUCCUUAUCUCCGCGUCGGGACAAAUUAGCACCCCGACUGUGUGUUCGGUUGAAACCUGUUCGCUGGAAUCUGCAAAUUACCUUUUCUGCCGCCUCGAUAUAAAGGACGCCGGACAUUCGGAAUGGCGCGAGCGCGCCUUUUACGCCAGCGAUCUUGCGCCGAGUGUUGCAAGUACAAAUGAGCGAAUUUACGUCCCGAAGAGCUACGACUCUCACUUUCGAUGCAUAGCACCGUAGGAAGAGUAGCACCGUGUUUUGCAAUUAGAAGCGUUAACCGUAUGCUACUAGACCUUUGCAGGUUCUAUUGGCGAAGAAAUUCCUCUCGAAGGAGAAUCGUCUGUAAAAAUGGCCAUGAUUUCAUCACUAAUAACGAGCAGCCUAUUAGCGUUGAUAAAAAAAAUUCCUGAGCACUAACUCACGAAGGUAUCCUAACACUUGUAGAAAUAUUUUACGAAUACAUCAUGCACGUUAUAUAGAACAUUUUGAAGUACAGACUUUUAAAGGUAAGUAAACUUUUAAUGGCAACAUUAACUUACUUUUUGGGGCGAUUGUAUACAGCACUAAUGAAAUUUCAAAAUAUUUUUUAUAAGACAUACAGUAUAUACAUGAACGUUUACUAAGGUAAGUGUCCAAAUACAUUUUUGAGCCACUGUACAUCGAAAACCUCGGUUACAAUUUCCAUAGUUUUUUUUAUUUGUUCUUCGACAAUCAAGCAAUGUCCAAGACGGAGAAUCUGCAGAUUGACUUUUUCGCUGCUCCCGGGGCCGAAAGCGCGGCGGAAGUGAUGAAUGGCGAGGGCAGGUCUUUUGAGAGCGGUGAUCUUUUCGGCUGAGAGGGGUACACGAAGGACACAAAGCGCCGCUAUCCGCACCAUCAGUGUCCGAUACCAGGCUCAGGUGACGCACUUUCCAAAGAGGUACCCAUGCUGCCAGUACCUUUAUUAAAGCGAAGACAAGACUCCGGGCCCUGACACAGAGCCGACCGAUGACAGAAAAUAUUUACAACGUCAUCUUGCCUAGACUGGGCGUUUUCCUGGUCAUCUUCGACGGCGCCAGCCUCUCCUUUCCAUGACCAUUACGACCGUCGCUUGUUCUCCCCUCAAUUAUUAUAGGUACACAUUGGGACAAUAGCUUUAUGACAAUUGGGCGCGAUUCAGUAACUCUGAGGGACUUGGGAUCGUUGAUCGUAAGUCUAGUUUAGCAGGAUUACGCUAAAGGAUGUUGCUAUGCUAGAGAGAGUCCAUUCAUCGGGUACUAGGAAAAUCCUUUGUGGUAACGAUAAGCUUAUUGCGACAAUUUCUGUUGUAGAUGAUAAUCAUUUUGGUAUAGGAUAAGUUUGAAGAGAUUAUUUACCAAUUAUCGGUCCCUGUAAAUCCUGUUUUUCACGCGGUCAAGUCUCUCUUAUCCGAAUGAAUGGUUUAUCUCGAUAAAAGAUAAUCUUCGUAAAGAAAGGCAUAGAGUGGAGCAUAGUUGAGCAUAGUUGAAGAUCUAAGAACCGUCUAAUAUUCAUUGAACGACACUAUUACGAUCGAGGUUGAACUCGAUGAAUUCUAAGAAGUUUCAACAUCGAAGGAGAAGAAGGGGGUCUGAUUCCCUGACAGUGGUUAAUUACGACGUUCGCUCGUUAAUUCGCCGAAGUCGAUUCGCGAUAGCGACGGGCAAAGAAAAGUGGGAGACGACAAACAACUCCUACGAGGAAUAACUUCUCAUUUCCUACUUACUGUCAAUUAUUUGGUUAGAGAGCCAAUUAACUCGGCUCUCCUCGCGAGUCGUAGUCGAGCGACGACGACGCUCGAUCAACGAAUCGAAGAACGUCUCCUAUUCUGCUUACGACUUAAUUAAUGCGAGCCUCGUCGUUUCAUUGUUCUCGAUAUUUGCAUGGAACCCCCGGCCCCUGUUACUAAAUUAUACGCUGUAUCUGCUCAACCAUGCCGAUGCAUACCGUACGUGCAAUUUUCUAUUGUUCGAAAUGACGCAGCGUUAGAUGCGUUUAUUAAAAUCUCGUCUGCUCGAGCUUUCAACUGUGGGCUCGAUUUCUGAAGUGUCCUUUGCCUUUUCAACUUCUCUCGUGUUUCCCAAUUUUUAACUGUGUCUGUCUAAUAUGAGGAUGUUAAAACGAUUGAGAUAUAUGUUUCUAGUCACAUUCUAAAAGUUCAUAUAGAUUCUAUAAAGUGUUAACUAUUCGUUAGGAAUAAACAUGGAACUUUAUUAACGCAGGUACACUUUUUAUUUCGACUUAAAUUUAAAUUGCUUAGAAUUUUAGCCCAGUUACAAAAAAAGAUAAGGGCAAGGCAAAGAGGCAAAGCAAAAGGUAACAAAUUAACAACAGAGGAACAUUAAUCUAUCGUAACGUUGAAAAUGUAGUAAAAAUAUCAAUUUUUGUAUAAAAAUCACUUUAUUUGCAAAAGCAAAUAAACCAAUUUCUCAUCUUUAUUUCACCGUAGAUUUCGUGUCAAGGAGGAACCGCCAUCUGGCUGAGCAUCACGAAAAACAACGUCCCCGGUCUCUUUUGCACGGUAUUUGCCUAACUAAUAAUGUCAAUAAGCCGACAAGUUAUAAGUUAUAGCUUAUAGAUUACUCUUUUAUGAUUUUAUAAUUUUUCGGGAAAUAUAGGAUAAUCAAUGGAGUUAUAAUUUAUAAAAUCUACUGGUGAAGUUUCCUUUCUUUUUAUAAUGCAAAGGUAUUUGUUAAUACCGGUAAUUUGUAACUUGUGACUUGUGAUUUGUAAAAUUUCAUUAUUAAUAUUACCUGAAUUGUGCAAGAGAGACCAUUUGUGGACGAUAAAUUAACUGCGUUUCUUUGACACGGGAGUACGAUAAUUCACGGUCCAGGCGGAGUAACGUCUUCAGGAUAACGGUUGGAAUACGGUGUCCCCUCGGUAAAUUCAACCGGACAUAUCCGGCUUCGAUCGAUCCCUCGAUACGAGGAGGAUCAUCCAAGGCACAGUAGACACGCGUGCCCACGAUAAUGAACGCGAGGGCCUGGGUAAAGGAAAACCGGUGGUUUCGUUCGUUUGACCGGCCGUUCCUCAUCGUUCGUUCGGUGCCGUUGUCAAUCGUCAAAACGAAUUUUCGAUGGCGGACGCAAAGAGGACCGGUGCUGGGACCCCCGCUGGGGUAUCGGUUACGUUUAAACCGCGUUUAGGGUCCUCGAAAGCCAGCAUUUCGAGGUUCCAACAGCAGCCCACGUUGUCGUAGUGAUGGACUGAAGAGGCCACGAAUCACCUGGUGUGAUCAGCCAGACUCUUUUUUUGUUUUCUAACGUUCGUUAGUGGAAUGUGGGAAAUGCUGGUUUAUGGAUGCUACGAGACUGUGAAGAAAGGAAACAAGGAAUGCGCAAGUGCCAACUUUCGGAGAGGUGGAGAUCGUAUGGAUGUAUGAUUCUUUGUGAAACUGUCUUUGUUGUUGGAAGGUGGACAAGAAACGUUGAAAGAAAUUAUUACUAUUAAGGAAUGGAAGAACAUAGUUAGAUCGAAAGAGAUCUAAAGAAUGUAGCAGGAUUAAUCAUAAGGUUGUUAAGACAUUUAAAAGAUUUCUAACAUACUCGUCAAUGUUUUCCAUGCAUCAUACAACCAAUCAUUAAUUCAAACAUUAAAAUUGUUCUCAAUAAAAAUACUACUUCAGCGAAAAGGGAUUGAAAAACGAAAUUAGAUUUGAAUCAAGAGUCAAACGAUAUCAUCAAAAUUAUAAAAAACGACAAAAGGAACAAAAAUUAGAAAGAUUACUUUAUCACUAGCACCGGCAGACAAUCAGGAGGCAAGUAACCGAGCCGAGGCGCAAUUAAACCGCACGAAAGUUCGCGAGGUCAAAAAAUAGAAGAACAGAGGUGGCCAUCGCUACUUGCGUGGCCCCGUGGCGAAGGGCCCGGGAGACGGUGGCGCCAAGGAGAUCCGUAUCUUGGCGCGGGGCACCGAGAAAGGGCUCCGGCUUCUCCCCACCAGCGGCAGCCCUCGUCAAAGAUAACAUCUGAUUCCGAAUCGUCCGUUCGCUCGUGUAGGCUUCCAUGUAUCCCGACUCGUUUUCUCGGGCCCUGGUACGAAUGUCAUCGUGUUCGCUUCUUACAAGCGGAACGGGGCUCCGAAAGCGGGCCCCAGCUCCCCUCCUCUGUUACCCGUCCAGCCCCACCAUCACAUCGGGUGCCUUCGUCAGCGCCGAAUUAACGACCGUGCAGGCCCACGGCAGCAUGCUACGGGAACAAGAUCGAGAUUAAUUGCGAGCCAUGAAUCGAAAGAAAAGCCACCGAUCGACUGGUCAAGACCGACUGUCUCUCCGACUUUCGUUAAUUUAUUGGUUAAUUUGGAAACGCUCGACAUACUUCAUGGAGAGAUUUGAUGGAGAGCAAGUCGAGGUAUACGAUGACAACUUGGUGUUUCUUGACGAUUUGAGUGGGCGAAUUUCUUGUUGUAUUGAUUUGAUUGUAUUGAUUUGACACUAGAACUACUGAUUUACAAUAUGCAUUGAAAUAUACAAUAUAUUUGGUUCGGUGAUUCUAUUAUGCAGUGGCUACAGAAGGUAUUGGCAUAUCAUUGUAUUUAUUAUAGCAUUCAUGCACAAUUUAAUUAGGCCCAAAUAUAUUAAAUUUCGUAAUACUUAGUAGUACUUCCGUAUCAUUAUAACAAUUUGAUGCUAUGGAAACGAAAUGUAGAACCUUAUAAUCCGUCAUUUUAAUGACUUUACUAGUUCUGGUGUUAAUGGUAGAUUAUUUCGUUUGUAUUAUUUGAAUUAUUUGAUAAAGUUGAUAAACUUGAUCAAAUUGAUCGAGUUGAUAAUAUUGGUAACAAUAAUAUUAUCUGUUAAUGGGAUUGAAUUAAUCAUGGAUCUGAGCUAUGACCGACAAAAUUUCGAUUAUUAUUAUUAUUAUCAUCGUGUUCUGGAAUUACGAUCAGCGUGCCAUUUGUCGAAGGUGAAACGUUCGGCCGGGGGCCGAAAAAAGCAUCGUAGGCGCGGCCGACCAAAAGCGAGCGCCGCCCGAAAAAAUCAAGCAUUUGUAUUCCGCGGAGAUUUUUCAACGGCGGCCGGACAGUUUUCUCAUUUCGUUUAUGGCCAGCCGUAACAUAACUCCGGGACCUACUACCGCCGCUCGACAAACACACAGAAAUUUCGACCACGGGAUCAGACCACGACUUCGCGUGGGUGGAAUGGAGUAGCAUCCUGGCACCGCUUUGCCAACCAAGAAGACGUCGCAUAGUUUUACUCGUUAGAUUGUUUAGGUAUAUAAAUGUUAAAUUUUAAAUGACUCUGUAAGUGUAAUUUAUUUGGACAAAUAUUUUAAUACCAAUGCUAUUAACUCUCAAGUGGUAUCGUUGGCAUAUCUACUAAUUUUUACAUUAUUUUAUUUUGUUCACAGUUUUAUAUUUCACGUGAUGAAAAUGACAAAGUAAAUAAUAUUAAAAGUAAGUAAAUUAAAAUUAAUCUUUUAUUGAAUCAUGUUAAGUGGUUCAAUAAAUGGACUCGGUUAUGUGUAUUUCUAUCUUUUUUAUUUAUUUAAGCUCCGAACUAACACCGACUCAUAAUUAUUUCUUUAUUUUUUAAGAUUAAAGAAAUAAUACACGAUUAUGUUUAAUAUAAUUAUUCAACUAUGGAUGCUUUUCGCGCGUUUAUUGUAACGCCAUCUGUGAUAGCGUUAUAUGAAAUAAUAUAAUAUUUGCCGCAUUUGCAGUCGCAAUUAAUCUCAUCAUGAAAAUAUAAUUUGAUUGAUUAGUAAUUAGAUGUUGUAUGGAGCAAUUAUUACUAGCGACUCGUAUUCUAACCAAACAAUUGACGACAUUCCAAGAACGUCAACUUUCUCUUGUAAUCAUAAAUAAUUGCAACGCAACGUUCAUACAAAGAGUAUUUCUUCCGAUAAUUAUCACCAAUGUUUCCCAGUGUCUCCUACGCUUAUUAUCCAAAGAAUUCAUAAUUUCUCAACAAUAUCAGCCCUUCUACUUUAUCUUUGAACGUCUAUAAUUUAAUACUUUUAUACAAAUAUGUCUUCCAGUGUCUCCUACGUAUGUUUAACAUCUAAAGAACCCAUAACACCUCAACAACAUUAAUCCUUCCAUUUUACUUUUGAACAUCCACAAUUCAACACUUUCGUCCAAACAGUCCGCGAGAGGAAUAUUUCCUGGUGUACACCCCUUGAUCUUCCCACCUGCCAUCGGCCCACGCGAUGCUUCUGCGAGAUACCGAGUUUACACGGGUGGCGGUCACCAGAACAUUCGAAUCAAUGGGAAAGAAAAACUCUGAAGAGCCAUCGUUAACGUUCGAUGUCUCAUGAUGAAUCGUUGGAUGAUACCAUUGCGGUAUACGUGAGUAGAAUAUAUUUUGUAUUUCGUUUCUUACAAAUACAUAUAUGUAUGCGUUUCAUUGCUUCGAGUUCUUAUGGAAGAUCCAUUUUGGAUGGAUUCGCAAGGGAAAGUUCUCUACUUAGUUCUCUUAGAAACUUUUGUUCUUUAUAUUAAUUUUAGAAAUUACUACCAAAAGAAAUUACGUUAAUUAAUUCUUUUCAUGUCAUUUAUGUUCUUUAUAUUAAUUGUCAGUAACUAUAACCAAGGAAAUUAGUUAACUCUAAUAAGGCAUUUGGACUUUUUUA